RNAcentral lists this ribosomal RNA (492 nucleotides) under uncultured bacterium. RNAcentral's name for it is "partial 16S ribosomal RNA". It matches the Rfam family "Bacterial small subunit ribosomal RNA", at positions 29 to 507 of the family's 1533-position model. The record is from RNAcentral.
AGUGAACGCUGGCGGUAGGCCUAACACAUGCAAGUCGAACGGCAGCACAGUUAGAGCUUGCUCUUACGGGUGGCGAGUGGCGGACGGGUGAGGAAUACAUCGGAAUCUACUUUUUCGUGGGGGAUAACGUAGGGAAACUUACGCUCAUACCGCAUACGACCUACGGGUGAAAGCAGGGGAUCUUCGGACCUUGCGCGAUUGAAUGAGCCGAUAUCGGAUUAGCUAGUUGGCGGGGUAAAGGCCCACCAAGGCGACGAUCCGUAGCUGGUCUGAGAGGAUGAUCAGCCACACUGGGACUGAGACACGGUCCAGACGCCUACGGGAGGCAGCAGUGGGGAAUAGUGGACAAGGGGCGCAAGCCUGAUCCAGCCAUACCGCGUGGGUGAAGAAGGCCUUCGGGUUGUAAAGCCCUUUUGUUGGGAAAGAAAAGCAGCAGGUUAAUACCCCGCUGUUCUGACGGUACCCAAAGAAUAAGCACCGGCUAACUUCGUG